RNAcentral lists this ribosomal RNA (460 nucleotides) under uncultured bacterium. RNAcentral describes it as "partial 16S ribosomal RNA". It matches the Rfam family "Bacterial small subunit ribosomal RNA", at positions 338 to 795 of the family's 1533-position model. The record is from RNAcentral.
CCUACGGGUGGCAGCAGUGAGGAAUAUUGGUCAAUGGACGAGAGUCUGAACCAGCCAAGUAGCGUGAAGGAUGACUGCCCUAUGGUUUGUAAACUUCUUUUAUAUGGGAAUAAAAUGUUCCACGUGUGGGCUUUUGUAUGUACCAUAUGAAUAAGGAUCGGCUAACUCCGUGCCAGCAGCCGCGGUAAUACGGAGGAUCCGAGCGUUAUCCGGAUUUAUUGGGUUUAAAGGGAGCGUAGGUGGAUUGUUAAGUCAGUUGUGAAAGUUUGCUGCUCAACCGUAAAAUUGCAGUUGAAACUGGCAGUCUUGAGUACAGUAGAGGUGGGCGGAAUUCGUGGUGUAGCGGUGAAAUGCUUAGAUAUCACGAAGAACUCCGAUUGCGAAGGCAGCUCACUGGACUGCAACUGACACUGAGGCUCGAAAGUGUGGGUAUCAAACAGGAUUAGAUACCCUUGUAGUC